CCUACGGGAGGCUGCAGUGAGGAAUAUUGGUCAAUGGACGAGAGUCUGAACCAGCCAAGUAGCGUGAAGGAUGACUGCCCUAUGGGUUGUAAACUUCUUUUAUAUGGGAAUAAAACGUUCCACGUGUGGGAUUUUGUAUGUACCAUAUGAAUAAGGAUCGGCUAACUCCGUGCCAGCAGCCGCGGUAAUACGGAGGAUCCGAGCGUUAUCCGGAUUUAUUGGGUUUAAAGGGAGCGUAGGUGGAUUGUUAAGUCAGUUGUGAAAGUUUGCGGCUCAACCGUAAAAUUGCAGUUGAAACUGGCAGUCUUGAGUACAGUAGAGGUGGGCGGAAUUCGUGGUGUAGCGGUGAAAUGCUUAGAUAUCACGAAGAACUCCGAUUGCGAAGGCAGUUCACUGGACUGCAACUGACACUGAGGCUCGAAAGUGUCGGUAUCAAACAGGAUUAGAUACCCGUGUAGUC
RNAcentral lists this ribosomal RNA (460 nucleotides) under uncultured bacterium. RNAcentral describes it as "partial 16S ribosomal RNA". It matches the Rfam family "Bacterial small subunit ribosomal RNA", at positions 338 to 795 of the family's 1533-position model. The record is from RNAcentral.